ACGCUCGACACCUACGGAGGCAGCAGUGGGGAAUAUUGCACAAUGGGGGAAACCCUGAUGCAGCAACGCCGCGUGAGUGAAGAAGUAUUUCGGUAUGUAAAGCUCUAUCAGCAGGGAAGAUAAUGACGGUACCUGACUAAGAAGCUCCGGCUAAAUACGUGCCAGCACGCCGCGGUAAUCUGAGGCGGGCUGGCAAGGC
Molecule: ribosomal RNA, 199 nt
Filed under: uncultured bacterium
Lineage: Bacteria
Description: partial 16S ribosomal RNA
Rfam family: Bacterial small subunit ribosomal RNA
Source: RNAcentral